RNAcentral lists this non-coding RNA (63 nucleotides) under unclassified sequences. Its description in RNAcentral is "S15-Halobacteria ribosomal protein leader". It matches the Rfam family "S15-Halobacteria ribosomal protein leader". The record is from RNAcentral.
GUGGGAACGGCACGGCCGCGAAUCCGACCUGUCCCCGUCUGGGGCUUGGGAUCGCGGCAGUGC